GGUAAGGAUAUGCGACGUUACGUGUCAACGAUUGUGUUCGCCAUAAACUGCAAAAAAUAUUCAGAUUGUCAAAACGUCAGGCAGUGUCGAGGACAAAGAAGAGCCCGUGGAAAUAGUGAGUAACAUUGCAUAGAAUGCAACAGUAUGAAAGAAUUGUUACGGGGGCUGUGUUGCGUUCAAGUGCUCCUCAGAUGAUCCCCUUUUGCCGAGUUGAGAAGUCGUUACUCCGAGUU
Sander lucioperca (pikeperch) is the source of this 233-nucleotide long non-coding RNA. RefSeq lists it as uncharacterized. NCBI's taxonomy places the organism in Eukaryota, Metazoa, Chordata, Actinopteri, Perciformes, Percidae. The transcript has 2 exons. The record is from RefSeq and is a predicted model, not a curated record.